Molecule: ribosomal RNA, 758 nt
Filed under: uncultured bacterium
Lineage: Bacteria
Description: bacterial SSU rRNA
Rfam family: Bacterial small subunit ribosomal RNA
Source: RNAcentral
UAGAGUUUGAUCAUGGCUCAGGAUGAACGCUAGCGGGAGGCUUAACACAUGCAAGUCGAACGGUAACAGAUCCGCUUGCGGAUGCUGACGAGUGGCGAACGGGUGCGUAACGCGUAUGCAACCUGCCCUUUACUGGAGAAUAGCCCAGAGAAAUUUGGAUUAAUACUCCAUAGUACUACAAAUUCGCAUGUUUUUGUAGUUAAAGUUCCAACGGUAAAGGAUGGGCAUGCGUGACAUUAGUUUGUUGGUGAGGUAACGGCUCCCCAAGACUACGAUGUCUAGGGGUUCUGAGAGGAUGAUCCCCCACACUGGUACUGAGACACGGACCAGACUCCUACGGGAGGCAGCAGUGAGGAAUAUUGGACAAUGGACGCAAGUCUGAUCCAGCCAUCCCGCGUGCAGGAAGACGGCCCUAUGGGUUGUAAACUGCUUUUAUAUAGGAAUAAACCCCUCUACGUGUAGAGGGCUGAAUGUACUAUAAGAAUAAGCACCGGCUAACUCCGUGCCAGCAGCCGCGGUAAUACGGAGGGUGCAAGCGUUAUCCGGAUUUAUUGGGUUUAAAGGGUCCGUAGGCGGAUUAGUAAGUCAGUGGUGAAAGCCUUCAGCUUAACUGGAGAACUGCCAUUGAUACUGCUAAUCUUGAGUUCGGUUGAAGUGGGCGGAAUAUGUGGUGUAGCGGUGAAAUGCAUAGAUAUCACAUAGAACACCUAUUGCGAAGGCAGCUCACUAAACCGAUACUGACGCUCAGGGACGAAAGC